CAGGUCUGAAUGUGGGGCCAGUAGCCCCCCUGAGGGGUAGGAGGGUCCAUAAAGCGAGAAGCUGACUCACAGACCACUCAGGUAUUAUAUUAGGAUACACUUUUUAAGUGUAUGUGUAGUGGAAAAUGUAAGUCCUUUGCAGGAAGGGCAGCAAAUCCUAGGCAGGGAUGCAAGGUGCUGAAAAACAGGCCAUUAAAUUUUUAUGAGAAAAAGACUGAACCUAUCCAGGAUCUGUUACAUAUGCAGCAUGUGAGACAGGCACAGUAAGUAGAGGGAUAGCUGAAAUACUGGGCUAUCCCCCCUGAUAUAGGGAGAGGGGAGGGUGGCCACAUGGCCAGCAGGCCAGUUCUUGGGUGAGACCUGGCUGUUUGCAACGCACAGAGUCCAUGUGGCUCUGAAAAAUG
Pelobates cultripes (western spadefoot toad) is the source of this 404-nucleotide non-coding RNA. The record is from the annotation of a GenBank genome assembly. Lineage: Eukaryota; Metazoa; Chordata; Amphibia; Anura; Pelobatidae.